AGCACCGUUCCGCACCGAAAAAAGACAUCCCCACACCGAACUUCCCCGAUUCAUUUUUAUCGGUGAGGCUUAGCGGUGUCCCCGAUUAGAAUGUGAUCGGGGCCGAGCCCUAGUUGUGGCUGCACCCCUUUAUGGAGAACAAACUCCUUCACGUUAAAAAAUAAGUUUUAGUAACUAUAAUUUAGAUUUUCCCACUUUUCUUUGUUACAGUGGGUACGUUAUUCAUUUCUUCAUUUCCUAAUUUUUUUUCUAACCCCAUUUCUAUCUAGUUUAUUUUUAUUUUAUUACUGUUUGGGAGUGGCUGUAUUUUGCCCGUGGCUCAUUCCUUUGUAGCAGACGAAUUUCUUGCAGGAAGCGAAAUUUUUCUGUUAGAAGAGACGAGCCUUGAAAAGGGUGGUUGGAUUUUUUUGGAAUAUACUGUACAUUGCAAGUUCAGGAUGAACAUACAUUGUUACCAUAAGCAGAAUACAAUUGCUUGUGCGGCGCCUCAGAUGUUGCAAUAACGGCUUGCAGGGACUAAGUGUCAUGAUUGUUUGGAGAAUCCGUUUUUCCCACUAUGCUUUUUUAUCCUAUACGUAUAGGCUAUACGUACCGAAAUUGAAAGACGACAGCGAAGCAUAUGUUCGUUUAUCAGCGGGCUGAUUGAAACCACUGAUAACAAAAAAUUAAAAAAUUUGUACCAAAGACAUCGUUAUCCGUUAACGAGAGUCGGAAAUUUUACGUUGGCACCCCCACCCCCUUUUUCUCUCCCGGUUGAUGUCCGUAUGAGACAUCCGCUGCCAGCACAGAUCUCCGAAGACGGCCAGCGUGCGGACGCCGUGGUCAGGUGUGUUGUAAGUUGUUUUAGUUACUGAAUCGAACUUUACACUGGACACUGGAAAUGUUCGAUAAAAAUGCAUUUGAGAGAAGCUCCCGUAAAUUGUUUUUUGUGUUCAUAAUGGAUUCCAGUUUACCAAAUUGGACAAUGAUAAAUAAUUACUUUGUUAUAGUGUUACCCCAAUAAAUCUGUGACUUGACAAAAUAUAUAUGGUAUAUUUGCCAGGAAUUAUAUGUAAA
Molecule: long non-coding RNA, 1056 nt
Organism: Daphnia magna
Lineage: Eukaryota; Metazoa; Arthropoda; Branchiopoda; Diplostraca; Daphniidae
Exons: 2
Source: RefSeq, a predicted model, not a curated record